GAUGAACGCUAGCUACAGGCUUAACACAUGCAAGUCGAGGGGCAGCAUGGUCUUAGCUUGCUAAGGCCGAUGGCGACCGGCGCACGGGUGAGUAACACGUAUCCAACCUGCCGUCUACUCUUGGACAGCCUUCUGAAAGGAAGAUUAAUACAAGAUGGCAUCAUGAGUUCACAUGUUCACAUGAUUAAAGGUAUUCCGGUAGACGAUGGGGAUGCGUUCCAUUAGAUAGUAGGCGGGGUAACGGCCCACCUAGUCUUCGAUGGAUAGGGGUUCUGAGAGGAAGGUCCCCCACAUUGGAACUGAGACACGGUCCAAACUCCUACGGGAGGCAGCAGUGAGGAAUAUUGGUCAAUGGGCGCAGGCCUGAACCAGCCAAGUAGCGUGAAGGAUGACUGCCCUAUGGGUUGUAAACUUCUUUUAUAAAGGAAUAAAGUCGGGUAUGUAUACCCGUUUGCAUGUACUUUAUGAAUAAGGAUCGGCUAACUCCGUGCCAG
This 494-nucleotide ribosomal RNA is filed under the name uncultured bacterium. RNAcentral describes it as "bacterial SSU rRNA". It matches the Rfam family "Bacterial small subunit ribosomal RNA", at positions 28 to 511 of the family's 1533-position model. The record is from RNAcentral.